UACGUAGGGGGCAAGCGUUGUCCGGAAUCAUUGGGCGUAAAGAGCGCGUAGGCGGCCCUGUAAGUCCGCUGUGAAAGUCAAGGGCUCAACCCUUGGAUGCCGGUGGAUACUGCAGGGCUGGAGUCCGGAAGAGGCGAGUGGAAUUCCUGGUGUAGCGGUGAAAUGCGCAGAUAUCAGGAGGAACACCGAUGGCGAAGGCAGCUCGCUGGGACGGUACUGACGCUGAGGCGCGAAAGCGUGGGGAGCAAACAGG
RNAcentral lists this ribosomal RNA (253 nucleotides) under uncultured bacterium. RNAcentral describes it as "partial 16S ribosomal RNA". It matches the Rfam family "Bacterial small subunit ribosomal RNA", at positions 524 to 776 of the family's 1533-position model. The record is from RNAcentral.